Molecule: ribosomal RNA, 253 nt
Filed under: uncultured bacterium
Lineage: Bacteria
Description: partial 16S ribosomal RNA
Rfam family: Bacterial small subunit ribosomal RNA
Source: RNAcentral
UACGAAGGGUGCAAGCGUUACUCGGAAUUACUGGGCGUAAAGGGUGCGUAGGUGGUCGAGUAAGUCUGAUGUGAAAUCUUCGAGCUCAACCCGAAAAUGGCAUUGGAUACUAUUCGGCUGGAGGGUUGGAAGGGGGACUGGAAUUCUCGGUGUAGCAGUGAAAUGCGUAGAUAUCGAGAGGAACACCGGUGGCGAAGGCGAGUCCCUGGACAAUCCCUGACACUGAGGCACGAAAGCUAGGGGAGCAAACAGG